Cajanus cajan (pigeon pea) is the source of this 1647-nucleotide RNA transcript. It is a transcript of the gene named mitochondrial uncoupling protein 2, with no coding region annotated. NCBI's taxonomy places the organism in Eukaryota, Viridiplantae, Streptophyta, Magnoliopsida, Fabales, Fabaceae. The record is from RefSeq and is a predicted model, not a curated record.
CUAUAUAUUAGUAAAUUUACCGUGAACGCGUUGAACUCGUUUGAAGGAGAGUGAUAAGAUUUAACCGAACGUGGUUGUUGCUUUCUUUCAUGCUACUCUCCUUCACCUUCUUAAUCACUCACCCAACCAACCCUUUUUCCUUCUGCCCGGAGUGUCAACAAUGUCAGAUCCAAACCAGAUUUCGUUCGUUCAAGCCUUCUUUUGCAGCGCUUUCGCCGCUUGUGUUGCCGAGUUUUGUACUAUUCCUCUGGACACAGCUAAGGUCAGGCUUCAACUCCAAAGGAAGCUAGGGGUUGAUGAUGAAGUGGGUUUACCUAAAUACAAGGGCUUGCUGGGCACGGUUAAGACCAUUGCUAGAGAAGAGGGUAUAUCAGCUCUAUGGAAAGGCAUUGUUCCUGGUUUGCAUCGCCAAUGUCUAUAUGGGGGCUUAAGAAUUGGGUUAUAUGAUCCUGUCAAAACAUUUCUUGUUGGUAGUGCAUUUGUUGGAGAGGUUCCAUUAUACCAUAUGGUACUGGCUGCUUUGCUGACUGGUGCUUUGGCAAUCAUGGUUGCUAAUCCAACUGAUCUAGUCAAAGUUAGGCUCCAAGCUGAAGGUCAAUUGCCAUCUGGGGUACCUAGGCGUUAUUCUGGUGCUAUAGAUGCAUAUAUAACUAUCUCAAGACAAGAAGGGAUAGGGGCCUUGUGGACUGGGCUUGGGCCCAAUAUAGCAAGGAAUGCAAUUAUAAAUGCUGCUGAAUUAGCUAGCUAUGAUCAAGUGAAACGGACGAUUUUGACAAUUCCAGGGUUCAUGGAUGAUGUCUAUACUCACCUCCUUGCUGGCUUAGGUGCAGGUCUUUUUGCUGUCUUUAUUGGUUCUCCUGUAGAUGUGGUGAAAUCCAGGAUGAUGGGGGAUUCAACCUACAAAAGCACAUUUGACUGCUUCCUCAAGACUUUGCUUAAUGAGGUAAAGACCUUAAUUAUAUGAGAUGACUUGGGAGACAGGACAAAAACAUUUUAGAGUUGACAAGAAGGUCUGCAUAAAGUUUAUCUUUUUCUGUGUACCGAUUGAACUCAUGUCACAAAUGUAUUGCAGGGAUUUACGGCCUUCUAUAAAGGUUUCCUUCCUAAUUUUGGUCGAAUAGGAGCUUGGAAUGUGGUUAUGUUUCUUACCCUUGAACAAGUCAAGAGGGUCUUCAGAGGAUAAUUAUUGCCACUCUUCAUGAUUGAGGUUCACUAAGCAAAAAUAGUGUUUUUUCUCGGAUGAUUGCUUUCAGAUGAACGACAGAUUUUUACAGCAGAAGGGCGGUCUUUCCUCAUUUGUUUCCUACUUCUGUCGUGUGGAUGGACAUCAAGCUUUAUAUAUUCUUAGUCGAUGAAUAAACCGUUAAUUUACCUUUUAUGGCUGUUGUCCACUUGUGCCACGUGGACGCCACAAUUCAAACAUUCUUAUCCAAUGAAUAGAUCGUGAAACUACAUUUACUUGAAAGGCCUACAUUGCGCUGGUUCGAUACGAGAUGUAUUUUUCAUUUUUUUUUUCCUGGGAAAUAAAUUGUGUAUUUCCCCACUCAUUGAAUAGACAAGUGAAAUGACACAUGCAUGAAAACUGAUAAUUAUUUAGUCUAUAAUUUAUUAUUCCAUUCAAAUAUUAUGGGUCUAUUGCCAUUGAUA